UCAAUCUUACCCAGACAGACAUUCUCCAUUUUCUCUGUUUCGAAUGCUUUUAAUUUUAAUACGCAGUUUCAACCGUUACAACGUGUUCGACACCCGACAUUUUUUUUUUGUUGAAUUUGAGGCCUGGAAGGUGUCACAGUAAUAAACAUAUUCCCAAAGUCUAAAAAUCAAAAGUUGAAGAAUUUCCAGGAUGUUUUUCAUUGACUAAAUGAAACAUUUUAAGGAUAACCUCCUUUAAUCGACCUCAUCAACUGCCCGGACGUUGCCUAGUAAAAAACGAACGUUGGACUGCAUCACCCCAUGGUAUUACGUACACAUAAAAAACUUCUCAAGGUUCGCAUAUUGGAAAUUCGAUUCGUCGAAACCAAAAACUUUAAUUUUCCGGCUGUUGCUCAAUGAUAAGAAUGUUCUUCAGUUCGAGGAACACUCUUGGCCGAGAUGACUACAUAAUUACCCGCAAGUUAUGUACACAUAUUUUUUUUUUCGUAUUUAGAAAGCAUCGGGGUCGUCACCCAAUACACACUGAUCGAUCCA
Daphnia carinata is the source of this 534-nucleotide long non-coding RNA. RefSeq lists it as uncharacterized. The record is from RefSeq and is a predicted model, not a curated record. Lineage: Eukaryota; Metazoa; Arthropoda; Branchiopoda; Diplostraca; Daphniidae. The transcript has 2 exons.